AGACACGAGGAGGAGCUUCAUGUCAUCGUCCAUCUUGUGGAGGGCGGCUAGGGUUCACGAGUGGAAUUUGAAGGGUACAUACAAAGGGAACCGAGGAAGGAAGGCGAAUGCGGGUGAGGGGCGGUGACGACGCAACGUGAUGCGAGCGGACCGGUGGGGGUGGGGUCGAUCGGGUGCCGAUGGGGUGGAGAAUGAAGAUAUCGCGUGCGGAGAGGGCCGGGGAUGAUGACGCACAUGCGAUGCGGGUUGGGGCACGGGAUGACGAUGCUGCACGAUGCGAACGGGGUGGGAGCGGCCUCCCAACUUUACAUUGCGACACA
Molecule: long non-coding RNA, 320 nt
Filed under: Zea mays
Lineage: Eukaryota; Viridiplantae; Streptophyta; Magnoliopsida; Poales; Poaceae
Description: long non-coding RNA (ZMAY_LNC000623)
Source: RNAcentral